GGUUUCCUACGGGGCGCAGCAGUGGGGAAUAUUGCACAAUGGGGGGAACCCUGAUGCAGCGACGCCGCGUGGGCGAUGGAGUAUUUCGGUAUGUAAAGCCCUAUCGGCAGGGAAGAAGCUGACAGUACCUGACUAAGAAGCCCCGGCUAACUACGUGCCAGCAGCCGCGGGAAUACGUAGGGGGCAAGCGUUAUCCGGACUCACUGGGCGUAAAGGGAGCGCAGGCGGCACGGCAAGCCUGGUGUGAAAACCCGGGGCCCAAACCCGGGGGGGCAUUGG
This 279-nucleotide ribosomal RNA is filed under the name uncultured bacterium. RNAcentral describes it as "partial 16S ribosomal RNA". It matches the Rfam family "Bacterial small subunit ribosomal RNA", at positions 333 to 629 of the family's 1533-position model. The record is from RNAcentral.